This 252-nucleotide ribosomal RNA is filed under the name uncultured bacterium. RNAcentral's name for it is "partial 16S ribosomal RNA". It matches the Rfam family "Bacterial small subunit ribosomal RNA", at positions 524 to 776 of the family's 1533-position model. The record is from RNAcentral.
UACGUAGGUGGCGAGCGUUAUCCGGAAUGAUUGGGUUUAAAGGGUGCGUAGGCGGGCUUUUAAGUCAGCGGUAAAAAUUCGGGACUCAACCCCGCCCGGCCGUUGAAACUGGGGGUCUUGAGUGGGCGAGAAGAAGGCGGAAUGCGUGGUGUAGCGGUGAAAUGCAUAGAUAUCACGCAGAACCCCGAUUGCGAAGGCAGCCUUCCGGCGCCCUACUGACGCUGAGGCACGAAAGUGCGGGGAUCGAACAGG